Molecule: long non-coding RNA, 1689 nt
Filed under: Salmo salar (Atlantic salmon)
Lineage: Eukaryota; Metazoa; Chordata; Actinopteri; Salmoniformes; Salmonidae
Description: lncRNA (ENSSSAG00000095198.1)
Source: RNAcentral
CAAAAUAUAUUUUAUAUUUGAAAUUCUUGAAAGUAGCCACCCUUUGCCUUGAUGACAGCUUUGCACACUCUUGGCAUUCUCUCAACCAGCUUCAUGAGGUAGUCACCUGGAAUGCAUUUCAAUUAACAGGUGUGCCUUCUUAAAAGUAAAUUUGUGGAAUUUCUUUCCUUCUUAAUGCGUUUGAGCCAAUCAGUUGUGUUGUGACAAGGUACGGGGGGUAAACAGAAGAUAGCCCUAUUUGGUAAAAGACCAAGUCCAUAUUAUGGCAAGAGCCGCUCAAAUAAGCAAAGAGAAACGACAGUCCGUCAUUACUUUAAGACAGGAAGGUCAGUCAAUACGGAACAUUUCAAGAACUUUGAAAGUUUAUUCAAGUGCAGUCGCAAAAAUGAUCAAGCGCUAUGAUGAAACUGGCUCUCAUGAGGACCGCCACAGGAAUGGAAGACCCAGAGUUACCUCUGCUGCAGAGGAUAAGUUCAUUAUAUUUACCAGCCUCAGAAAUUGCAGCCCAAAUAGAUGUCUCACAGAUUUCAAGUAACAGACAUCUCAACAUAAACUGUUCAGAGGAGACUGUGUGAAUCUGGACUUUGUGGUCGAAUUGCUGCAAAGAAACCACUAUUAAAGGACACCAAUAAGAAGAAGAGACUUGGGCCAAGAAACACAAGCAAUGGACAUUAGCUGGUGGAAAUUUGUCCUUUGUCUGGAGUCCAAAUGUUAGAUUUUUCGUUCCAACCGGCGCGUAUUUGUGAGAUGCGGUGUGGGUGAACAGAUGAUCUCCACAUGCGUAUUUCCCACCGUAAAGCAUAGAGGAGGAGGUGUUAUGGUGUGGGGGUGCUUUGCUGGUGACACUGUCUGUCAUUUAUUUAGAAUUCAAGGCACACUUAACCAGCAUGGCUACCACAGCAUUCUGCAGUGAUACGCCAUCCUAUCUGGUUUGGGCUUAGUGGGACUAUCAUUUGUUUUUCAACAGGACUAUGACCGAACACACCUCCAGGCUGUGUAAGGGCUAUUUGAUCAAGAAGGAGAGUGAUGGAAUGCUGCAUCAGAUGACCUGGCCUCCACAAUCCCCAACCUCAAGCAACUUGAGAUGGUUUGGGAUGAGUCGGACAGCAGAGUGAAGGAAAAGCAGCCAAUAAGUGCUCAUUAUAUGUGGGAACUCCUUCAAGACUGUUGGAAAAGCAUUCCAGGUGAAGCUAGUUGAGAGAAUGCUAAGAGUGUGCAAAGCUGUAAUCAAGGCAAAGGGUGGCUACUUUGAAGAAUCUCAAAUAUAAAAUAUAUUUUGAUUUGUUUAAUACUUUUGUGGUACCUACAUGAUUCCAUGUGUUAUUUCAUAGUUUUGAUGUGUUCAUUAUUAUUCUACAAUGUAGAAAAUAGUACAAAUAAACAAAAACCCUUGAAUGAGUAGGUGUUAUAAAACUCUUGACCGGUAGUGUAAUCAUGAUUUUUUUAUAAAAACAAAAAAGGAAAUAAAGUAAUAUUUAUCAGUGUGUGUUUCUGUGUGUGUGCGUGUGCUUGCAUGUAUGUGUAUGUGAGAGUGUUCAAAUGUAUGAAUGUAUGUAUGUACAGUUUGUAUGUAUUUAUGUAUGUAUGCAAAAAUAUAUAUAUAUUCUCGAAAAACAUAUUCUUGUCGGCAGUGGUAUUGUGUGUGGUGUUCAAUAGUUUUACACACAAACUAAUCUCAGACGCACGUGA